RNAcentral lists this ribosomal RNA (466 nucleotides) under uncultured bacterium. RNAcentral describes it as "partial 16S ribosomal RNA". It matches the Rfam family "Bacterial small subunit ribosomal RNA", at positions 28 to 506 of the family's 1533-position model. The record is from RNAcentral.
GACGAACGCUGGCGGCGUGCUUAACACAUGCAAGUCGAACGGAAGGCCCUGCUUUUGUGGGGUGCUCGAGUGGCGAACGGGUGAGUAACACGUGAGUAACCUGCCCUUGACUUUGGGAUAACUUCAGGAAACUGGGGCUAAUACCGGAUAGGAGCUCCUGCUGCAUGGUGGGGGUUGGAAAGUUUCGGCGGUUGGGGAUGGACUCGCGGCUUAUCAGCUUGUUGGUGGGGUAGUGGCUUACCAAGGCUUUGACGGGUAGCCGGCCUGAGAGGGUGACCGGCCACAUUGGGACUGAGAUACGGCCCAGACUCCUACGGGAGGCAGCAGUGGGGAAUAUUGCACAAUGGGCGGAAGCCUGAUGCAGCAACGCCGCGUGCGGGAUGACGGCCUUCGGGUUGUAAACCGCUUUCGCCUGUGACGAAGCGUGAGUGACGGUAAUGGGGAAAGAAGCACCGGCUAACUACGU